CCUACGGGAGGCAGCAGUAGGGAAUAUUGCUCAAUGGGGGAAACCCUGAAGCAGCAACGCCGCGUGGAGGAUGAAGGUUUUCGGAUUGUAAACUCCUUUUGUUAGAGAAGAUAAUGACGGUAUCUAACGAAUAAGCACCGGCUAACUCCGUGCCAGCAGCCGCGGUAAUACGGAGGGUGCAAGCGUUACGCGGAAUCACUGGGCGUAAAGCGCGCGUAGGCGGGAUAGCAAGUCAGAUGUGAAAUCCUAUGGCUUAACCAUAGAACUGCAUUUGAAACUGUUAUUCUAGAGUAUGGGAGAGGUAGGUGGAAUUCGUGGUGUAGGGGUAAAAUCCGUAGAGAUCAAGAGGAAUACUGAUUGCGAAGGCGACCUGCUAGAACAUAACUGACGCUGAUGCGCGAAAGCGUGGGGAGCAAACAGGAUUAGAUACCCGAGUAGUC
This 440-nucleotide ribosomal RNA is filed under the name uncultured bacterium. Its description in RNAcentral is "partial 16S ribosomal RNA". It matches the Rfam family "Bacterial small subunit ribosomal RNA", at positions 338 to 795 of the family's 1533-position model. The record is from RNAcentral.